CCUACGGGUGGCAGCAGUGAGGAAUAUUGGUCAAUGGACGAGAGUCUGAACCAGCCAAGUAGCGUGAAGGAUGACUGCCCUAUGGGUUGUAAACUUCUUUUAUAUGGGAAUAAAAUGUUCCACGUGUGGGAUUUUGUAUGUACCAUAUGAAUAAGGAUCGGCUAACUCCGUGCCAGCAGCCGCGGUAAUACGGAGGAUCCGAGCGUUAUCCGGAUUUAUUGGGUUUAAAGGGAGCGUAGGUGGAUUGUUAAGUCAGUUGUGAAAGUUUGCGGCUCAACCGUAAAAUUGCAGUUGAAACUGGCAGUCUUGAGUACAGUAGAGGUGGGCGGAAGUCGUGGUGUAGCGGUGAAAUGCUUAGAUAUCACGAAGAACUCCGAUUGCGAAGGCAGUUCACUGGACUGCAACUGACACUGAGGCUCGAAAGUGUGGGUAUCAAACAGGAUUAGAUCCCGAGUAGUC
This 459-nucleotide ribosomal RNA is filed under the name uncultured bacterium. RNAcentral's name for it is "partial 16S ribosomal RNA". It matches the Rfam family "Bacterial small subunit ribosomal RNA", at positions 338 to 795 of the family's 1533-position model. The record is from RNAcentral.